Pezoporus flaviventris is the source of this 1276-nucleotide long non-coding RNA. RefSeq lists it as uncharacterized. The record is from RefSeq and is a predicted model, not a curated record. The transcript is spliced from 3 exons. NCBI's taxonomy places the organism in Eukaryota, Metazoa, Chordata, Aves, Psittaciformes, Psittacidae.
CUUCCCGGAGACCCGCUCACCUGCAAGGCGAAGGCAGGUCCUGUCGGAACGGGGGCCAUGGGGCCGCCCUCCGCUACACCAUGGGCGUGAGCGGCGCGCUGCGCACAGGCUGGCUCCAGAGGACACGGAGAGACUGCGGCUUGUUUUGCGAGACGUGGAAUUAAAAUAACUUCCCCUAAACAGAGAACUGACUCUGGGAAAGACUUUUUAGCGAUUCACUCCCCAUCACUGUUAUUUAACUCUCUCAUCUCUGCCUUUUGGUUUGGCAGUAACCUGCCGAAGUAGCGAUAGCGUUAUCCUGAAUACUAUGCUGCCACCAAACGUAGGAAAUCAACCCGUUACGGCAUGAUUUAACAGUGUGGGCUGGCGCUUGAAGCAGCUUCCCUUCUCCUUGGGCACGUCUGUGAUAGCCUCGCUGCGGCCUCGCUGCGACUGUUGCCCUGAGAAGAGGGGCUGGUGUGCGGAGCUCCGCAAUGGCACACAGCCCUUCCAAUCACCUGCGCUUCAGUGGGGCCGUAUCACUACCGUGCUUCAGGAACUUGGGCCAACUCCAUGUGGAGUUUUGAAGCGAUGAAGAAACAGAACGACUACCAUGGAAUUUAGACCUGGAAUGACUGGCUAGAUGUCUGAGGAUUACUGCAAUUGACAAAGAAGGCUCUGCACAUCAUUCCAAACUCAUGCCAAAAAAAUCUUUAUCUCUUGUUAACAAAAAAGAAAAGAAAGGCUGCAGAGGAUCAAAAAAAAAAAUUUGAACUGCUUUUGUAUCCUUUCAGCUGUAUCCUUCCAGCCACCUUUGUUCUCAUGAGUUCAACUUUUCAAGGCAGAGAGGAAGCCUUUCUAAACAGACUUGAAAGAGCAUCACAAAUUUUCAAGGUUAAAGUCAGUAUAGUAGGCUGUAUACUGUGCCUGAGCAUAGAGAAGCUGUGCUUAAAUGUAGAAGAGGACACAGCAGAGAAAAUUUUCUAAUCCUCUGCUGUCUGACUCUGACAUAUGUUAUAACAGCUGAGCAGCUGAUCUAACCCAUACCUCUUCUAAAAACUCAUCAGUAAUGAAGAGGUAGACAAGUUUUAGUCUAGAAUGCACAUUCUCCAGGCCUGUAACAUCCAUGGAUGGAAGCCAGAACAUGAAGAAGUCAAAUUAGUGAGUCAGUUAUAGUCCGUCAAGUUUUAUCACUAUUGAUCUGCAAGGACUACAGAAGUGAGCUGUAAACCCCGGAAGUGAAGAAACUGUUCUUCACAAAAUGUAAAGUUGCUAUAUUACUUAACUAUCAAAACAU